GGUAGAGAAAAUGAGCCUGUACCAUCUGAGAAAAAUGCACCUGUUCUGUUUAGCAUAGCCCCUGUGCAAAGAUGACAUACAAAUUUGUGAAGUGUUCCAUAUUUUU
Molecule: small nuclear RNA, 106 nt
Organism: Sceloporus undulatus (fence lizard)
Lineage: Eukaryota; Metazoa; Chordata; Lepidosauria; Squamata; Phrynosomatidae
Source: RefSeq, a predicted model, not a curated record